This 555-nucleotide ribosomal RNA is filed under the name Cladosporium velox. RNAcentral's name for it is "eukaryotic LSU rRNA". The stretch from base 208 to 361 matches the Rfam family "5.8S ribosomal RNA". The record is from RNAcentral. Lineage: Eukaryota; Fungi; Ascomycota; Dothideomycetes; Cladosporiales; Cladosporiaceae.
UAAAAGUCGUAACAAGGUCUCCGUAGGUGAACCUGCGGAGGGAUCAUUACAAGUACACUACCGGCCUAACCCGCCGGCUAUGUAUAACCCUUUGUUGUCCGACUCUGUUGCCUCCGGGGCGACCCUGCCUUCGGGCGGGGGCCCCGGGUGGACACUUCAAACUCUUGCGUAACUUUGCAGUCUGAGUAAAUUUAAUUAAUAAAUUAAAACUUUCAACAACGGAUCUCUUGGUUCUGGCAUCGAUGAAGAACGCAGCGAAAUGCGAUAAGUAAUGUGAAUUGCAGAAUUCAGUGAAUCAUCGAAUCUUUGAACGCACAUUGCGCCCCCUGGUAUUCCGGGGGGCAUGCCUGUUCGAGCGUCAUUUCACCACUCAAGCCUCGCUUGGUAUUGGGCGACGCGGUCCGCCGCGCGCCUCAAAUCGACCGGCUGGGUCUUCUGUCCCCUCAGCGUUGUGGAAACUAUUCGCUAAAGGGUGCCCGGGAGGCUACGCCGUAAAACAACCCCAUUUCUAAGGUUGACCUCGGAUCAGGUAGGGAUACCCGCUGAACUUAAGCA